This is a long non-coding RNA of Cairina moschata (Muscovy duck), 2020 nucleotides long. Lineage: Eukaryota; Metazoa; Chordata; Aves; Anseriformes; Anatidae. The record is from Ensembl.
AUGGACAAUGAAAGAAAAUUGCUGGUGCACAAGACACAAGUGGUAAACAUCAAGCUGCUUGGAGCUCCUGGAGGAGAUGCCGGGCACUUCGCAGCCUUCCGGGAACCAAAAUGUUUCACUGAAACUUCGCACUCACCUGACAGCUCGCCUGAACGUCCUCAUCACCCAGAAGGCGCGGAAGCGUGCCCUGAACUUUCACACUUCGGGGUUGGUGCAAAUUGGCCUGGAGCGCUGUUGCAGGAGCACUGGAUGUUUUCUGUUCCGUGGGACAGCCACAUGGGCUGGCUCUGCUCCCUGUUUGCAGCUGGUAUAUAUCACUGAAAGCCAUCUGAAAAAUAAUUAAACACUUUCCUGAAGUUACUUUGCCAUGAAAACAAUUAAGGUAGUUGGAGCAAAGGUACUACACAACCAUAUUCUCCAGCCUGACAAAUUUAAGAACUGGUGAGAGCACAAUCUCUGUGCUAGGAUUUGACCAAGUCAUGAAUUUCUUCACGCCAGCAUGUCCUUGAGAAUUGUAUUAUGAAGCGAGAGGAGUGAGGGAGGAAAGAAUUCUGCAGAAGUUCAGUCUCGGUUUCUCCUGGGCUGGUGAAUUUGCCAGAGCAGGAAGGAAGAUCAGCUCCUGAAAUGAUAAGUGGUCUGCAGAGAAUACCACCCAGAUGAUGACUUCAAUUUUGCAUAUUUUAAUUGCUAGCUCUUCUUCCGAGGAGACAAAUUUUCCUGGCCUGUUGAUAUUGUCUGGUGUUAGUGAUGUGCAAUCCAUGUGAUAAUGACUUUACUACACAGUCAACAUUUUUCAAUUUUUUUUUUUUUUAUUAGAAUAUUUCCUGUUUGAAAAUUUUCAAUUUCCAGUACCAUAAAAUAUUAUUCUUCCUAAGAAGAGUUCCUCGAAAUACUGUUCCUCAUUUGAGGAGUUUCUUUGUUUGUGCUAGCAGUUAUGCUUUAUAGACACUUUGCUUCAGUGGGUCAAUUUAAAACAUAAACACGGGGUCAUGAUCACAGGCUGACACGAUAUGCUACAGCAGAAAAAUUACUGAAGAGGAAGAAAAGAAAAAUAAGUUUAAAACACUCAGGAAAAAUAUAUAUAUGAGUGUGCAUGCUGAGAAGAUGAAGAAGACUAGAGCAAAGAUAAGAGUAUUAAACAAUGAUAAAAGGAAACAUUAUCUAGUAGCUAAGCUAUGAGUUUGUAAGUCAGAAGCCUCAUGCUUUUUGAGCUGUUUUCUCACAAGCCCAGGCUAUGGAACUUCAGACAAAGUCUCUUAAAACUUUGCCUGAAGAGCUAUCACUUUUGCCAAGGGACCCGUACCAAAACAUGCAUUUAUAAGAUGAUAGACGAUAACAGUGUUGACUCACAUUUGUUUCUUGUACUUUUAAAACAUGCUUGAAACACAGCUGGGGGCUUACCAUCGUAGCAAAAUGCAAUUGUUUUGUAAUGGUGUUACAAUAGAAAUAGGUCAGAGCUGAGUCAUUUGGCACUGGAUCAUGUAAAGGCUAGACAUGUCACUAAUUUCACCCAUUUAAAAUGUCAGUUCUGAGGCACUACAGAAAAACAAGGUUAUGCCACAGUACCAAAGGAAGAUAAAAGGGGAAUGAAAUAGACCCAGUGCUGUAUUACACAUUUAAUUUAUCAUGUGGUUUUAAAAUGCUAGAAAAUGAAAGAAUUAUGUUUUAGUCUUUAUUUAUUUAUUUAUUUAUUUGGGUGGGGGGUUAAGACAUAAAUUGGUUUCAAAGUUAGGUCAAGUGUCUAAGCAACCCAGAAAAAAUUCUUCAAUAACUGAUUUUUAGAUAACAUUUAUUUCUUUCUGUUGUGAAAUCCUAAAGCAAGUACACUUAGCUCUCUGACCAACUAAUAUUUUGGUUAAUUAGAUCAUCUGUAAACCAUAAAACUUCAGCUUUCUGAGGUGAAAAAGAUGAUCUGUCGUUGGUUCUUUUGUAACUUUGUCCAUUUUACCAGCAGUUAGGUCACUGCUCAUUGCUUGUUAUAAAUCAUCCUCAGCAAAGUGAUUAAAAUACUAAUAUUAAA